RNAcentral lists this ribosomal RNA (465 nucleotides) under uncultured bacterium. RNAcentral's name for it is "partial 16S ribosomal RNA". It matches the Rfam family "Bacterial small subunit ribosomal RNA", at positions 28 to 507 of the family's 1533-position model. The record is from RNAcentral.
GACGAACGCUGGCGGCGUGCUUAACACAUGCAAGUCGAACGGAAAGGCCCCUUCGGGGGUACUCGAGUGGCGAACAGGUGAGUAACACGUGAGUAACCUGCCCUUGACUUCGGGAUAACUUCAGGAAACUGGGGCUAAUACCGGAUAGGAAUCCUUACUGCAUGGUGGGGGUUGGAAAGCUUCGGCGGUUUUGGAUGGACUCGCGGCUUAUCAGCUUGUUGGUGGGGUAGUGGCUUACCAAGGCUUUGACGGGUAGCCGGCCUGAGAGGGCGACCGGCCACAUUGGGACUGAGAUACGGCCCAGACUCCUACGGGAGGCAGCAGUGGGGAAUAUUGCACAAUGGGCGGAAGCCUGAUGCAGCAACGCCGCGUGCGGGAUGACGGCGUUCGGGUUGUAAACCGCUUUCAGCAGGGGCGAAGCUUGUGGUGACGGUACCUGCAGAAGAAGCACCGGCUAACUACGUG